CGAGGACGACGCUGGCGGCGUGCUUAACACAUGCAAGUCGAACGGAAAGGCCCUGCUUUUGUGGGGUGCUCGAGUGGCGAACGGGUGAGUAACACGUGAGUAACCUGCCCUUGACUUUGGGAUAACUUCAGGAAACUGGGGCUAAUACCGGAUAGGAGCUCCUGCUGCAUGGUGGGGGUUGGAAAGUUUCGGCGGUUGGGGAUGGACUCGCGGCUUAUCAGCUUGUUGGUGGGGUAGUGGCUUACCAAGGCUUUGACGGGUAGCCGGCCUGAGAGGGUGACCGGCCACAUUGGGACUGAGAUACGGCCCAGACUCCUACGGGAGGCAGCAGUGGGGAAUAUUGCACAAUGGGCGGAAGCCUGAUGCAGCAACGCCGCGUGCGGGAUGACGGCCUUCGGGUUGUAAACCGCUUUCGCCUGUGACGAAGCGUGAGUGACGGUAAUGGGUAAAGAAGCACCGGCUAACUACGUG
RNAcentral lists this ribosomal RNA (471 nucleotides) under uncultured bacterium. RNAcentral describes it as "bacterial SSU rRNA". It matches the Rfam family "Bacterial small subunit ribosomal RNA", at positions 33 to 507 of the family's 1533-position model. The record is from RNAcentral.